AGACUCGGGGCCUCCCAGUGCUAGGCAGCUGGCAGUUUCUCCAGCACUGACUUGGCAUCUUACCCCCUUCACACAAAGCAGAUAUUGUUGAAGGAAGCAACCAUCCUGUGGUCUCUUGGCAUCACCCCCUGCCCGGCAUGCAUGUGGGAGAAGGAGCGUCUCACUGAGAAGAGAUUCUAUCUUAUUGUAAGUCUCUUUGGAGAGAGGACGCCCAGGAGAAUGCCUUUGCUCAGAGCCUGAAACCUGCUUGCUCAGGGGUGGAGCUUCCCGCUCAAUCGUUCUGCCACGCCCACUGCUGGAACCUGCUGCUUUGCUGUUUGGAGCCAUACACGUGGUCACCCUGAUACUGGACUCCGAGAUUAUUUGCAUUUCAGUAUCCAGCUUCCUCUGUGAUGGGAGAAGCCAGCAGGACACGUGGAAAUUGAACUGGUUGGUUCUGGUCACAUGAUCAAUUGCAGGUAUGAUCAGAGUGCCUCCAUGCCACCUUCAAGGUUGGUGCUGGUCCCAGUUUCUACACUGCAGCAGAGGAGAAGACCAAGGCUCCCAGGAAUGAAGGAAUUGUCCCACUCCGGGAUACAUGCCAGGUCCUGACAUCACUGUUUAUGCUCAGCAACAAGCAGCCCAUAAGCUCAUGCAUACAAGAGGUGGCCAAGUGUAUGCAGCAACAGGAGGAGGAAGCAAGAGCACAGGGACCACUGUCUACAUGAGGCAGGGGGUCGCUACCUGCCUCAGACACCUGGCAGAGGUUCUCAGUUGGGACCAGUGGACACCAUGACAACUUAGAGUGACUCCAGGACUGGUUGAAGGGACAUCAUCUGGGACAUUGACUCAGAAGGGGGUCUUCCCUAUGAAUCUGGCUUGCCCUUUCUUCUCCACAGGGGAGCGUUCUGAGGUCCUGAGGGGUGGGGUAACUUAAUGUCAGGAUCUCGGUCCAAUCCCUUAGAUUACUGUGCGUUCAGACCCAUUGUCCAUUUUAACACUCAAAAUCCUUUAACUGCAUGUAGUAUAACUAAAUACAGACUCAUGUCUGUGUUUUCAUGAUCAAAAGUAUAAACAACAUUUUUUUUUGAGACAGUGUCUUGCUACAUUGUGAGGCUGGCCUUGAACCUGUCAUCCUUCUGCCUCAGGCUUCUGAAGGUAUAGACAUGAACCACCUCACACAACAUUUAUUAUUGUUAUUAAUAUUAUUAUUUAAAUAAAGGUUGAAAUGUUCUCAGAAGCUGAAGAGAAAAGAAUACCUCCCUAGCACCUGUGUCACUUCUCCAGAAGGACUUCAUGACCUUCUGAAUACAAAGUUCCAGCACAUUAUUCUGACCCUGAUACACCCAGGGGUGUAAUAAACGCUGGCUUUGAGCUGGUGAUUCUCCUGCCUCAGCCUUGUGGAUAUUACAGGUUUACGCUCCUACACUUGGCUGAAGCAAUUUUAAUGUCUGAUCCAACUCUCAUGUCUGGGAAGCCUUCUUGUAUAUAUGUAUCUCAGUGUGUGUACAAACGAACACACAGAGGAAUGGUUGUUGUUGUUGUGAUUGCUUUUAUUACAUCCAGAGCUCAGGUGAAUGAGGAAGAGAUCAUUUCUGGAAGAGUCUAUUCAUUUUGUCAGAACAAGCAUUUGGAAGCCUUGUCUCAGAGGCCCAGGCAUUGCUCAUUCCCAGAGGUCAAUGUUCCCAGUCCUUGUCAUCUUGAGUACGUAAGUGUGUAAGAUACUGAACAGAAAUUUCCUGGCUUCCCAUACUAGAGGUUUAAUUGUCCAGUAGUUAUUGGAGCCAGGAGCGCAUUUUCCCAUGAAAGCUAUGUUGUGCAGCUAGCUAUAGUGGUUCCUUUCCACAGGUUCAGAACUCAGCAGACUGAGGUAGAAGGGACUGUGAGCUCAGGACCAACAGGGGCUACAUAGAGACUGUCUCACAUACAUGCAUACAUACAACAUGCAUAUAUGUUAGACACGCACACACAGUCACUACUGGGUAUGAGAAUGAGCUAGCCCAAGAUAGGAUCAGGUCCCAGUUGACUUUUCUGCUGCUGUGAUAAAACACAUUCUAAAAUGUUGUCUUGGGAGGAAAGGGUUUGUUUGGCUGAUAGGUUUCAGUCCAUCAGGAAGGAAGCCCAGGAGGAAACUGAAGAUAGGAACUAGGAAGCAGGAACCGAGCAGAGACCAUGAAAGAACGCUGCUCAUUGGCCUGCUUCCAGGCUCAUGGUCCCAGGCUCUGGAACGGCCCACAGACAUAGCCACAGGCCAGUGCAAUGGUGUCAGUUUCUUAACUGAGGUCCCCUCUUUCGGGGUGUGUCAAGUUGACAGCUGAAACUCGCUGUGACAGGCCAACAAGGUCCUGAUGAUAAAUGGAUGUGCGGGCUAGUUUUUUUUGUCAACUUGACACAAACUAGAGUCAGUUGAGAAGGCACAAACUCAAAUAAGGAACUGUCUUCAUCAGGUUGGCCUGUGGGCAUGUCUGUGGGGCAUUUUCUUGAUUAAUGAUUGAUGUGGGAGGGCCCAGCCCACUGUGGGUGAUGGAUGUUACCCCUGGGUUGUAUAGGGGAGCAAGUUAAGUGAGCCACGGAGAGUAAGCCAGUGAGCAGUGUCCCUGCAUAGUCCCUGCCUCUGCUCCAUCAUGGCUGGGAUUGGGACAUGUAAGCCAAAAUAAAAUCUUCCCACUCCAA
Molecule: long non-coding RNA, 2652 nt
Filed under: Mus musculus (house mouse)
Lineage: Eukaryota; Metazoa; Chordata; Mammalia; Rodentia; Muridae
Description: predicted gene, 32296 (Gm32296)
Source: RNAcentral